CCGCUGGUUUCCUAGGAAUGACCUCUGCUGCCCUCUUCCAAGUGGCAAGUAAAUAUCAUCGUGUCUUUGAGUCAACAGGCACCCAGCUUGCCAGACUUCACCUCUGUGUGAGCAUCUGGCAGAAGUGAAAGGAAAUCAGGAACAAAUGAAUAUUCAAUCAGCCAGCACAAACAUCUGAGUGCAGAAUGGGACAUCUCUGUGCACAGCGGCUGUUUGAGCAGCAUUCCAUUUGACUGCUCCCUCCACAAUUGCCAGAUUACUGAGGAACUGCACAGGGCUAGACGGCAGCUCGUAAUUCCCUUACUUUUCCAUUGCAACUCCACACAGGAGAACGCAGCCCUUCCAUCAGCAGAUUUAUAAUGAGAAUGCGACCCUCUGGGGACUCUGUCAGUGUCUCCUGGCUUAGCUACUCAACUUGUGGAAGACACCUGGACUUGCUAGGAUAGUACAAGAAAAUGGCUCACAAUGGCAUGGCACCUCUCAUUGCACAAACCAGUUGCACCUUCACAGCUGGGCAGAUGAACUGCAUUCUACUGACGUUUGCAUGGUUUGGUUUGGUUUGGUUUUCCUUUUUCUCCCAUAACAAAGAAAA
Mauremys reevesii (Reeves's turtle) is the source of this 592-nucleotide long non-coding RNA. RefSeq lists it as uncharacterized. The transcript is spliced from 3 exons. Lineage: Eukaryota; Metazoa; Chordata; Testudines; Geoemydidae. The record is from RefSeq and is a predicted model, not a curated record.